CCUACGGGUGGCAGCAGUCGAGAAUCAUUCACAAUGGGGGAAACCCUGAUGGUGCGACGCCGCGUGGGGGAAUGAAGGUCUUCGGAUUGUAAACCCCUGUCAUGUGGGAGCAAAUUAAAAAGAUCGUACCACAAGAGGAAGAGACGGCUAACUCUGUGCCAGCAGCCGCGGUAAUACAGAGGUCUCAAGCGUUGUUCGGAAUCACUGGGCGUAAGGCGUGCGUAGGCUGUUUCGUAAGGCGUGUGUGAAAGGCGCGGGCUCAACCCGCGGACGGCACAUGAUACUGGGAGACUAGAGUAAUGGAGGGGGAACCGGAAUUCUCGGUGUAGCAGUGAAAUGCGUAGAUAUCGAGAGGAACACUCGUGGCGAAGGCGGGUUCCUGGACAUUAACUGACGCUGAGGCACGAAGGCCAGGGGAGCGAAAGGGAUUAGAUACCCCAGUAGUC
RNAcentral lists this ribosomal RNA (446 nucleotides) under uncultured bacterium. RNAcentral's name for it is "partial 16S ribosomal RNA". It matches the Rfam family "Bacterial small subunit ribosomal RNA", at positions 338 to 795 of the family's 1533-position model. The record is from RNAcentral.